RNAcentral lists this ribosomal RNA (119 nucleotides) under Meriones unguiculatus (Mongolian gerbil). Lineage: Eukaryota; Metazoa; Chordata; Mammalia; Rodentia; Muridae. The record is from RNAcentral.
AUAUACGGCCAUACUACCCUGAACAUGCCUGAUCUCAUCUGAUCUCAGAAGCUAAGCAGGAUCGGGUCUGGUUAGUGCUUGGAUGGGAGACUGCCUAGGAAUGCUGGGUGCUUUAGGCU